This 1442-nucleotide long non-coding RNA is filed under the name Heterocephalus glaber (naked mole-rat). RNAcentral describes it as "lncRNA (ENSHGLG00100045591.1)". The record is from RNAcentral. Lineage: Eukaryota; Metazoa; Chordata; Mammalia; Rodentia; Bathyergidae.
CACAAGCUGAAGCCCAGCCUGGGCAACUUACUGAUUUAGUGAAAUUCUGUCUCAAAAUUAAAAAUUUUAGAAGGGUUGGGGAUGUUACUCAAUGUGAAGGCCCUAGGUUCAAUCCCCAGUAUUGCUAAAUAAGUAAAAGUUAGAAAUAAAAAGGGCUGGGGAUAUAGCUCAGUAGUAAAACUCCCCCGGGGUUUGAGCCCCAGUACUGAAAAUCAAAACAAGGGAACAAAAAAAACCCCAGAAUAACCAAGAUAACAAAUAGGGAAAGUUAUCAUAUUAACAGUUAAUGAAAAUAACAUUAUGCCAGCCUGAAACACAUGGCAAGACCCUGUCUCAAGAAAAAAACUUUCAGAACAGUUAUGUUUUCCAAAAUCAUACACCAGCUGGCUAAGGAUUUUUUUUUUUUUUUUUGAGACAGGGUCUCACUGUGUAGUUCAGGCUGACUUUAAACUCACUGUGUAGCCCAGGCUGGCCUCAAACUCUCCACAAUCCUGCCUCAAGCCUCCCAAGUGCUGGGAUUACAGGCAUGUGUCACCACGCCUGGCAGGAUUUAAUUUCUUUUUUGGUACCGGGGAUUGAACUUGGGUCCUUGUGCUUGUGCAGCAGGCGCGAAACCACUGAGCUAAAUCCCCGGCCCAAGGAUUUAAUUUCUAAACCCUGGUAUUUUCAUCACUGUCAGGGAGUUUGAAGGGUGUGUAGAUGGAUGGUGUCAGAAAGGCAUUCCCAGAAGGAGAGAUAUCUGUAAAAAUUGUGGGGACUUGGAGGCAUAAAUAGGGCACCUGCCUCAUGUGUGGGAAGCCCUGGGUUCAUCCCCAGAACUGAAAAAAUAAUGGAUGGACUUUAAGGAUAUUUAGUCAGUUUAACUGGAGAAAAACUCCCCAAAUUGUAAUCAAGUAUCAACCUCAUAAAAUUUGUCCUAAGCAAGGAAAGUUAUCCAAUCAUGGGUUUGCUGGGCAAGCUUUAUGUUUUAUACCAAUGGAAAUAAAUAUGUAACUGUUAACAACUUUGCUCAUACUCCAUUAAAACCAUCUCAGGCCCCAGUGGUAGUCAUGUGCCACUCUGGAGAACACUGCCCAAGGGAGUUCCCAGCACCACCUGGGAGGCAGGAUUGUCACUGAGCUGGGGCCCUGGAGGUCCCUAGGGUAAAAGAAAGAACCUGAUCCACCCUUUUGUAGAAUAAGUUUGCAGGCUCUCUGACUCCUGUCAUGGAGAAAGAAUUUUCAGGACGCAUCAGUAAGAGGCACAGGAAUAAUAGGGAGAGAUUUAGGGCACACUUGGGAAUGAAGUGCAGACAUUCAGAGAAAUGAGAUGAAUUAUUUCCUGUAUGCUUCUCUUAAGGGGUGGAAACCCUGGGAGAAGGUGGCCACCCCCAGAAGGUGCUAGGCCAUUCUACAGGCCUUGGCUCUGUUUUGUUUGUUUUUAAAAAUUUAAACCUUUGGGGC